CUUGGAGAUUGCUGCUUGGUGGAGAUUGUCUCAGCAGUUCCCAGCAGACCGAAGGCUUCCAUACGGCAUGUCAUCUCUUUUACAGAGAAUGCCAUAUCUUUGAUGUGUUGGGAAGCACUGCCUAUUGAACAGAGCAGUCAGAUGAAUUCGUCACCAUUUCCUAUGUAUUUUCACCAAUGAUGAACAAGAGUCAGCAUGCCAUGCUCUUAAAUAUCUGCUCCAGUGGAGGUGAUCCACGGUUGUGAUUGUUGAAACACACCACCCAGGACAUUGCUGUGCUCACAUUAACUGUUUGGUCUUCAUCAAAGUUCAACUUUCAGUAGAAUUAUGGAAAUACAAUAAAUCAGAGGAUUUAUUAAAGUCGUCUCCACAUGCAUCAAGUCCAUGCUCACGGCAUCCUGAAGGUAUCAUUCUUG
Molecule: non-coding RNA, 416 nt
Organism: Coturnix japonica (Japanese quail)
Lineage: Eukaryota; Metazoa; Chordata; Aves; Galliformes; Phasianidae
Source: RefSeq, a predicted model, not a curated record